CAUAUUUAAUUUCUUUUCCUCUUUUUUUUUCUUCUUGGGUGGGUGGGUGGGGGGAGCUUGGAGCUGUCUUAAUCUGUAUUCUCUUAACUGAACAAUAAAUUUUUAAAUAUAUAUAUAUUUAUAUAUAUAUAGUUUCCUCUAUUAAACACUUAAACCUGGCCAUCUUAUUAACUCCUUUCUCUCUCUUUUUUUUUUAACAAGGUAAUGUUUUAAAUGUAAUAGUUUUAGAACUAGCGAAAUGGCAGCAACAAAAUAACUGUAAACAGUUGUUACUCUUUUUUUAAGUUUUUUUAAAAAACCUUUUACAUUGUAAGUACCCAGUCCAUUCUGUCCUUAUGCCUUACGCAGUGCAGUUUUCAUGUUCAUGUUGCUGAGAUAUCCUUAAUUUUCUGAGCCUUCGUCUGCAUGUCUGUCUUUGUCGCUCUUGUCUAACAAUAAGCCAGCUAAGAAUGCUUUUAGACGAUGUUGCUUUUUAUCAAGCUAAGGCUUUAGCUUUUGAAGCGUUUGGAACUGUUUAUAGCCAUAAAUGCCAGUCAGCUUUCUUCCCAGUAACAUGGACACUCUCUCUGAAAAUCGAUCUGUUUGGAGGAAAACAGCUCUGGGUUUGUUUUUUUUCCCUGUUUCUUUUUUUUCUUUUUCUUUCUGGUCUGGAUGGAGGGGUGGGCGAGAGAAAGGGAAGACCUCUUUGUGUAGAGAGACGAAAAGCCGUCACAGGAAACUAGAUUAAAACUGGAAAGCAAGUCCUGGCUGGUGCGAGCCAAACACCAACGUUUAACUCGUGGGUAUUUGCUAUGGAGGUUGGGACGGCCGCGUGUCUCUUUGCCUUUUGUUUGAUUUGAUUGUGUGUUUUCGCCUUUUGUCUCUUAAUGACGGUCCCACCAUGGCCACAGCCAGAGCAGUAAACAGCCCUCAGCGAAGCCGCCUUCUGCCAACCCAGCCCUGGGAAGGUCACCGCAGUGGAAGGAGCAGAACAGGCCCUGAGAGUUAACUGACAGAAAGCUUGCUUUCCAGACUCCAUGGCACCGGGCUGAACGGGCUCUUGGCCAGAGACGCGGUGCUCCCAGAACGGACCGUCCUCCUCUGGGCAGCAGGAGCGGGCCCAGUGUGGCCCUGACAGUGCUCUCCUGAGGAAUUCCUGGUGAAUAAGAGAAGAAUGACAUGGGUCCCCAGAACAUCUCCCAGGUAAGGAAGCAGGGCCCCCCGGCUUGUGCGAGUGCCCAGCUCAGCUGGCCUGCCCUGGCCCUGCCACCUCGGAGGAAGCCUGCACAGCUGGCCUGGCUGCUGGGUAUUUUUAGCUUCAGAUCCAGCCCCUACACCACCCUGGAGCUGGGUCCAAAUCAAACAUGCUCCAUGCUGGCUGGGGCUGGGUUCUGCCAGCCUCUUGGCCAGGCAGGGGUGGGUGGGCGGGCGGGCGGGCAGGCAGGCGGGCUGGGGCCAGUGUCAGCUGUUCUGCCUGGACCCAGACGGGGCUGGACAGACUCUCCCUUCCUCUCCCCUUCCUCUCAGUCUUGUGUACGUUGUGUGUUCUGUCAUAAGUUAAAAUUGCAGCCCCGUUUCUCAGAUGGAAAGUGGAAACUGAGGAGUGAGGAUUUUGAGGACAGUCGGGAGCCCUCCCACAGGCCUGUUUGCUAAGAGUGGGGUGACCUUUCUACGGGAAUGCUCCCCCAGCCGCUCCCAGAUGAAAGAGCAUUCCCCCCCCUCUGACUCUCCCAGGCCCUCCUCCCUACACUUAGGGUCCUUGCUUUAGGGUCACUGCUGCAGCAGGCCUGAGAUGAGAAGGUUGCAAAGAUAUGUGGUUCUCCUUCCUUCAAAACCUCCUUCCAUCCUCCCCUGCCUCCUGUGGGCCUUUCUGACAUGUGUCUGGACCCGGUCUGUUCUGCCAACUUCAGGCUGCCUCACCAGCCAGUCAUAGCUCCUCUGAAGAGAGCCUGAGUGUCCAGCUUUGGCUGGGCCAGUUCAGGAGCCUUCUGUCCAGCGCCCCCUGCUUGAGCCUGACAGCUAGGCCCUCUGUGGGCUCACCCUGGUAACCUUGACAACAGCGUCUGGCCUCCAUCCUCACUCCCCAGCCACUGCCAAACCUGCUGAGGUUUUCCAGCCACCGUGUAUCUGCCCAGGCUGGGUACCCAUCUGGCCUGCCCUCCCAACACUGCCAAGCUUAGUUCAUGUACCAGCCAGCUCUCAACCUCCUCUGAGCUCCUUACAGGUGGUAACACAAUUCCCCUCAAUAAACUUGUAUUGAAAAAAAAAAAAAAUGAAUGAGUUGCUGUAAAUUUUUCUGAGGGUGCUUGACCCAGCUGAUGCCACCAACAAACUGAAACAGCUUUCACUUGCCUGCUCUUCCCAGCUCUGGCUCUUGGGGUUUCCACGGGCGGUCACUGCUGCCCUCUGGUGGUCAGACCCUGCCUUGCAUCCGCUGGGGGAAAAAACCGACCCUGCCUUUAUGCAACUGCCAGGUUGGCAAUUUCCUGCCUGAAGUAAAGUUUACCUCAUCUUUGCUCA
Molecule: long non-coding RNA, 2499 nt
Organism: Pipistrellus kuhlii (Kuhl's pipistrelle)
Lineage: Eukaryota; Metazoa; Chordata; Mammalia; Chiroptera; Vespertilionidae
Exons: 4
Source: RefSeq, a predicted model, not a curated record